UACAGAGGUCUCAACCGUUGUUCGGAUUCAUUGGGCGUAAAGGGUGCGUAGGCGGUCGCGUAAGUCAGGUGUGAAAUCCCGGGGCUCAACCCCGGAACUGCACUUGAUACUGCGUGGCUAGGGUACUGGAGAGGAGACUGGAAUUUACGGUGUAGCGGUGAAAUGCGUAGAUAUCGUAAGGAAGACCAGUGGCGAAGGCGGGUCUCUGGACAGUUCCUGACGCUGAGGCACGAAGGUCAGGGGAGCAAACGGG
RNAcentral lists this ribosomal RNA (253 nucleotides) under uncultured bacterium. RNAcentral's name for it is "partial 16S ribosomal RNA". It matches the Rfam family "Bacterial small subunit ribosomal RNA", at positions 524 to 776 of the family's 1533-position model. The record is from RNAcentral.